Plutella xylostella (diamondback moth) is the source of this 3931-nucleotide RNA transcript. RefSeq lists it as uncharacterized. The record is from RefSeq and is a predicted model, not a curated record. Lineage: Eukaryota; Metazoa; Arthropoda; Insecta; Lepidoptera; Plutellidae.
GGCGGCGGCGGCGGCAGACAGACCCGCGCGGCCGCGGCGACCGAACGCCACGCACGCCGCUCCCGCCCGCGCGCGCUCGCUCGCCGGACGCACCACCCUCGCCCACACUCGUCAGACCAGGACCUGACUCCUACCAACCCCGCACAGGAUUUACUGUGAUUCUAACAAGUGUUUGUACACACUUUUUGUGCAGUGAUUCUUAACUUGCAAAGUUUUCAACAGUGCUUUUAUGUGACAGAAAGUUUCACGAGUGUGUUGAUGCCAAAUUCAGUUUAAUAGUUAUGUUAUAGCUAGUAGUUUAUUGAAAGGUACAUAGACGAUAGUGUUGUAGUGUUAGAAAUUAAGUUUUGAAGUUAUAAAACUUUACUGAAAAAGUUCGUCAAAUUCAAGAUCUCAAAAGCCCAGCCCACCUUGAACAUGUCAUAAGGCUCAAAUUGGACAUGAGAGAAUGAGAGAUGGAAUCACGCAGCGCGCCGCCCAGCCCCGACGAGCGUCGGGAGGGCGCGGGGGAGAGCGGCGGGGUGCGGGGCGGCUGCGCGCGCGCCUACACCAGCUGCCGCGCGGCGCGGCCGCGGCACGGCGCCUCGCGCGACGACCGCCUGCUCACCAUGGCCGAGGUGCACGACUACCCCUCGUCCGAGUCCGGCAUCGCCGCCGACUGCCUGCCACCCGCGCUGCACGACGACAGCCCGAGCUACGAGCGCUCCGACUACGAGAGCGGCUACGGCGCGCGCCUGCCGCCCGCCUGCCACCACACGCUCGACUGUAAGCACCGCCCGGGGGACUACUCCCGCAGCCGCACGCCCGAGUGCGCGCACGAGCGCAUGUCGGAGUACGAGCGCCACUACGCGCGCUCGCAGACGGCGCGGCGCCAGCACCGCCACCACCGCCGCGACGAGGACGAGGCGCGCUCACUGGACGAGCGGUGCGCGCGCGACCUGGACGAGAUCCUGCCCGCGCGCCUCGCCGCCGUGGCACUGCAGCCCCGCGACCCGCGCGACCCACGCGACCCGCCCGCCGCCACCUGGGCGCGGACCAACAUCGCCGCCACCAUGGAACGCUUCGAGCCCAUGGACUACGCGUACGCGUAUUACGACCAUCAUUUAUCAAUGCCCUCGUCGUCGAGGAAAGUGAAUCGCCAACGCGGACGGGGCGGGCUACCGCGCGAGAGGAACGCCCGCCACAAUUACGUCACGCGGUACGGGACCGAGGAGAACAUUUACGAGGAAAUCACGGACGGGUCGCGGACGUGCCCGAAGCACCGCUACGGGCCGCGGCAGUCGCUGGUGUCGCUGGACCGCAGCGUGGUGGAGGAGGAGGUGCGGCGCGUGGAGUCGCGGCACAAGCGCAUCCUGGGCGAGCUGAACCUGAGCGUGGAGGCGAUGCUGAUGCCGGAGUGCGAGUCGCCGGACUCGGAGCAGGCGGAGGACCGCGACAACAUCGAGGAGCUGCUGCGCGUGGGCCCCACGGACGAGCUGCUGUCGCCCGCCAGCUGCAACCCGCCGGACCUGGACAGCGGGUUCAGCGGCAGCAGCAGCGGCGCCAGCUACGUGGGCAGCCUGCGCCGCAAGCCGGCGGGCUCGGCGCCGCACCUGCCGGCCGUGGCGUACGGCCCGCGCGGCGCCGGCGUGCGCAUCCUGGGCGCGGACGAGGCGGAACGCCGCGCCGACGCCGCCUCCCCGCGCUCCUCCAGCUGCGGCGACGCGCGCUCCACCGGCUUCUGGAACAAGAAGUCCUGGAAGAAGAUCUCCGGCUUCUCCAGCUCCAGCAGCAUCAACAAGGCCGGCCUCACUGGUCUGCUCGUUAGGUACACUUUCCGGCGUAAGUCUGGCUCUCAAGGCUCACAGAGCAAGCGGCGCCCGGAGCCCGCCGCGUGCGAUGCGUGUCUGUCGCAGCGAUGCUAGCCGCACCCGGAUGUGGAAGCGUGUAGGCCGAGCAGAGCUAAGUCCAGAACACCCACCUUACCGUACAGCUACUCAAACGGAAAACUGGUGGUGCCGUUGGAUUCCAUAGCACAGAGCUGAGGGUGCCGCCCGCCCCGCGCGCCGCGCCCUCCCCCCCUCCAGCUCCAGCGAGGGGCUGCUGCGGGACGCCGCGCCCUGCCCGCCGCCCUGAGCGGCGACCGUGACGCGGCGGCGCCCUGCCCGCUGCCCUAAGCGACCUACGGCACGCGGUGGCGUCCUGCCCACUGCCUUGAGCGACCUCCUGGAUGAAGCGACGCCCUAAGUGACCUGCGGGAAGCGGCAACGCCCUGUCAGGGGCCCUGAGCGAGCUGCGGACCUCCUCGGUCCCCAUUCUUUCAACGCAAACAUUCCACAUAAGAACACACUUUACUUGAAAAGACCAAUUCUUUAGCAUGGCCGAUGUGUAUUUAGUGUAAAUAACGAGAAUGACUAAAGAACGAUAGAAAUCAAAUAUAGGAGAGUAUACGUUAAAGUGAUAAAUGAGCCUAAUUAAUAUUGUGUUGUUGCAGAGCGCUUCAUAGAAGCGAGCGAACUCGUUGUUGUUAUCAGACGAUACAGUAGCUGAUAGGUACAAGAAAAGGCUGAAAUAAAAAUCGGUUUUCUUCUUCGUAAAACUGACGUUUUAAAGUUUAAUUCUUUUUAUAGUAGCAUACUUAUUGAUGUUCAGUAUUGUAUUAAUUCGAUUUUUGAUAUAUAUCAAUCUUAGUCGUUAAAAUGUUCAUGUAUCUGAUAUUAAUAAUAUUAUAUACAAUUGGAUAAUUUCCCGUACCGGACGAUGGUGCUUGACAUAAAUUAAGAUUUUCAUUAGAAAUGUUCCUUAAAAUAAAUUACGGAAACCUUUGUAUCCACAAUUCAGCAAGUCGACAUCAGAUCUUGAACGACUUCUUUAGAAUUUACACAAUACAGAUGCCGAGCGAUACUCAGAGAGGCCUAAUUUCCAACAAAAUUUACCGAGUUAAUCACAAAUACCUAUUCCUAGUCUUUUGAUAUGAGCAAUUGUAAGGUAAAUUAUUAAGGUAAGCAAAGUUGUUGAAGUUUAUUCUUUAUCGGACCAAUUCUAUCUGCUUGUGAUCAACUGAUCAAUUAACAAUCAAUAAACAUUUUCCGAUUUUCUAUCUGCCAGUGUCCAGGUACACUUUAUAAGUAUUUUAUACUAGCGUCUUAUUUUUUGUUGAGUAGCAAUGUGUGAACAUCUAUUUCCAUAAUGUUGAUGAGAAAAUUUACCGAUUACAUUAAAUUGAAAACAAAACCAGUAAUUCAUAGAAACAAUUAACAGUUAAACAGUUCCAAACAGGCGUUCAACAUUCUAUGAACUAUCUCGAUGAGCUCAAACCUAAUCGCUUAUGUUUAUUUGUAAAUAUCCUACAUGAAUUGAACUUUUGCAAAUAGUUUUAUUAAUAUUCCUACAUGUAUGUAUAAAUAAAUCUGUCCGUCAAAUUUUAAUUUAUAUUUGUGUAAUAUUUUUUUUUAUUUAUAAUAAAAAAUUUAGACAUAAACUAUUGCGUUAAAAUAACGUCAUUGUUAAUACUUGUUAAGUAUCUGUACAUUUUGUAAAUAGUCGAAGGAACAUGGUGCACAUUCUCUAUAUUAUGUAUGCAGUGACGGUAUUUGCAUUGGAGGCAGUGGUUAUUUUAAAUGAAUUUAUAUAUUGUCCAUUAUAAAGAACACAAGCUAUCACUCUUGAGUUCUUGAAUCUACACGAAUCUGUCUAUACUCUAGAUAAUCCAUUACUGUUGUCACCUUGUAAAUUUGUCUGAUUAUUACCUAUACUGUAAUUUACUGUCUCAAACUUGUCUUUAUCGUUAAUUUAAAAUUCACCAUAAUAUGUUUUUAAUCGUGUUUUAUAAUAUUGAUGUUACCGGAACAAGUCACAAUAUCAUAUUGUAUGUAUUUCAUUUAAUAUCUGUAAUUUAGCAACCAUGUUCAAGUCAAAAGAGAUUUUUAUUAAAUAAAAACGUAAAAUGUCA